UACGUAGGGUCCGAGCGUUGUCCGGAAUUAUUGGGCGUAAAGAGCUCGUAGGCGGUUUGUCGCGUCUGCUGUGAAAUCCCGAGGCUCAACCUCGGGUCUGCAGUGGGUACGGGCAGACUGGAGUGCGGUAGGGGAGAAUGGAAUUCCUGGUGUAGCGGUGGAAUGCGCAGAUAUCAGGAGGAACACCAAUUGCGAAGGCAGCACUCUGGGACGUGACUGACGCUGAGACGCGAAAGCGUGGGGAGCAAACAGG
Molecule: ribosomal RNA, 253 nt
Filed under: uncultured bacterium
Lineage: Bacteria
Description: partial 16S ribosomal RNA
Rfam family: Bacterial small subunit ribosomal RNA
Source: RNAcentral